RNAcentral lists this ribosomal RNA (232 nucleotides) under uncultured bacterium. Its description in RNAcentral is "partial 16S ribosomal RNA". It matches the Rfam family "Bacterial small subunit ribosomal RNA", at positions 100 to 334 of the family's 1533-position model. The record is from RNAcentral.
CGGGACGGGUGAGUAAUGUCUGGGAAACUGCCUGAUGGAGGGGGGUAACUACUGGAAACGGUAGCUAAUACCGCAUAACGUCGCAGACCAAAGAGGGGGACCUUCGGGCCUCUUGCCAUCGGAUGUGCCCAGAUGGGAUUAGCUAGUAGGUGGGGUAACGGCUCACCUAGGCGACGAUCCCUAGCUGGUCUGAGAGGAUGACCAGCCACACUGGAACUGAGACACGGUCCAG